GAGUAGUUUAGAACAACUUGAAUGUAAUCCAACCAUCUAUGGAUCUAAGAUAUCAUAAUAAUCAUCUCAACACUACCCCCCUAUUCUUAAGUCUGAGAUAAUACCUCAAACGGAAGGAGUACUAUUGAGGUAAUGCCUCUGGCCAUACGUUGUUCAUCUUUUUAUUCUUCUUCUGAAGAGCCAGUAUGUGCCGGCGAUGAUCUUGUGCCUAUCACAUCUAGGGCUCUUCUCAUCUUCGCACGAG
RNAcentral lists this long non-coding RNA (244 nucleotides) under Elaeis guineensis (African oil palm). RNAcentral describes it as "long non-coding RNA (EGUI_LNC002054)". Lineage: Eukaryota; Viridiplantae; Streptophyta; Magnoliopsida; Arecales; Arecaceae. The record is from RNAcentral.